Molecule: long non-coding RNA, 710 nt
Filed under: Panax ginseng (ginseng)
Lineage: Eukaryota; Viridiplantae; Streptophyta; Magnoliopsida; Apiales; Araliaceae
Description: long non-coding RNA (PGIN_LNC012677)
Source: RNAcentral
CCUAAGGAAAACAGAAAAAACAUCUUUGAGCUUUCAAUGAAGCCAAAAAUCGAUUAAAUUUCAAUAAUUUAAAAAUAAGAUACACUAUGAUCACCAAUCAGCAUAGUCCUAAAUAAAAAUCAUUAAUAUUCUCAACCACAUAGUACCAACAUCAAAUAAAAUCCUAGUGAUAGGAGCCUCGAGAGAGAAAAACUCAUUUUUCUCUGACCUGAAACUGGAACGACCCUUCACUUUUGGGGGCCGACGGUAGGAGUACCGAGCAAGCUGGCCUGCUGAAGCUCGAGCUCGUUAAAUUGCUGUUCGCGAUCCAUCUCGAUGAUGAGAGGAACGGCGAGGAUCAAGAAGGUGGUACCGGCAAUCCAGGCGGCUUUGCCGGUGCUCUUGAGGAGCUUCUUUGCGACGAAGCCAGCGUCUGCGGCGGCGCGCUUGCCGCGAUACACGAUCGGAGAUUCAGAUAUGGUUGAUGAAACCCUAGAUAGGAUUCCUUGGUUUUUGUUGCUAGGUAGAGAGAUUCUUUUAGCCGCCAUUGCAAAAAGAGAGAAAGGAAUAGUGAAGAGUUGUCAGGGUUUUGCAAGGUUAGGAAUUGGGGUUUUAUGUAUUUGUGGUGUUAGGAAUUUAUUUGAAAUGGCAAUUAUAUCCUUGGGACGGACAAGACCCAGGCGAAAAUAAAGAAAAAAAGAAAACAUCCUAAUUUAAAAACUCAAGUAUAU